GACGAACGCUGGCGGCGUGCCUAAUACAUGCAAGUAGGACGCACAGUUUAUACCGUAGCUUGCUACACCAUAGACUGUGAGUUGCGAACGGGUGAGUAACGCGUAGGUAACCUGCCUAUUAGAGGGGGAUAACUAUUGGAAACGAUAGCUAAUACCGCAUAACAGUAUGUAACACAUGUUAGAUGCUUGAAAGAUGCAAUUGCAUCGCUAGUGGAUGGACCUGCGUUGUAUUAGCUAGUAGGUAGGGUAAAGGCCUACCUAGGCAACGAUACAUAGCCGACCUGAGAGGGUGAUCGGCCACACUGGGACUGAGACACGGCCCAGACUCCUACGGGAGGCAGCAGUAGGGAAUCUUCGGCAAUGGGGGGAACCCUGACCGAGCAACGCCGCGUGAGUGAAGAAGGUUUUCGGAUCGUAAAGCUCUGUUGUUAAGGAAGAACGAGUGUGAGAAUGGAAAGUUCAUACUGUGAC
Molecule: ribosomal RNA, 471 nt
Filed under: Streptococcus anginosus
Lineage: Bacteria; Bacillati; Bacillota; Bacilli; Lactobacillales; Streptococcaceae
Description: bacterial SSU rRNA
Rfam family: Bacterial small subunit ribosomal RNA
Source: RNAcentral